AACGCACAUUGCGCCCGCCAGUAUUCUGGCGGGCAUGCCUGUUCGAGCGUCAUUUCAACCCUCAGGCCCCCAGUGCCUGGUGUUGGGGAUCGGCGUCGGGCGAACGGUGCACUCCUCCGGGAGCCGCGCCGUCCUGCCUGCCGGCCCCGAAAUUCAGUGGCGGUCUCGCUGUAGUCCCCCUCUGCGUAGUAGCACAACUCGCAUUGGAGCUCGGCGGUGGCCAUGCCGUAAAACACCCCACUUCUGAAAGUUGACCUCGGAUCAGGUAGGAAUACCCGCUGAACUUAA
This 288-nucleotide unclassified non-coding RNA is filed under the name uncultured fungus. RNAcentral describes it as "partial contains 5.8S ribosomal RNA, internal transcribed spacer 2, and large subunit ribosomal RNA". The stretch from base 1 to 52 matches the Rfam family "5.8S ribosomal RNA", at positions 103 to 154 of the family's 154-position model. Lineage: Eukaryota; Fungi. The record is from RNAcentral.